CUCCAGUCUCUCUCCAGCUGCUGUCUCUCUCCAGUCUCUCUCCAGUCUCUCUCCAGUCUCUCUCCAGUCUUUCUCCAGUCUCUCUCCAGCUGCUGUCUCUCUCCAGUCUCUCUCCAGUCUCUCUCCAGUCUCUCUCCAGUCUCUCUCCAGUCUCUCUCCAGCUGCUGUCUCUCUCCAGUCUCUCUCCAGUCUCUCUCCAGUCUCUCUCCAGUCUCUCUCCAGUCUCUCUCCAGUCUUUCUCCAGCUGCUCUGCUGUCUCUCUCCAGUCUCUCUCCAGUCUUUCUCCAGCUGCUGUCUCUCUCCAGUCUCUCUCCAGCUGCUGUCUCUCUCCAGUCUCUCUCCAGACUCUCUCCAGUCUCUCUCCAGUCUCUCUCCAGUCUCUCUCCAGUCUCUCUCCAGCUGCUGUCUCUCUCCAGUCUCUCUCCAGACUCUCUCCAGUCUCUCUCCAGUCUCUCUCCAGUCUCUCUCCAGUUGCUGUCUCUCUCCAGUCUCUCUCCAGACUCUCUCCAGUCUCUCUCCAGUCUCUCUCCAGUCUCUCUCCAGUCUCUCUCCAGCUGCUGUCUCUCUCCAGUCUCUCUCCAGACUCUCUCCAGUCUCUCUCCAGUCUCUCUCCAGUCUCUCUCCAGCUGCUGUCUCUCUCCAGUCUCUCUCCAGACUCUCUCCAGUCUCUCUCCAGUCUCUCUCCAGUCUCUCUCCAGUCUCUCUCCAGUCUCUCUCCAGCUGCUGUUCUCUCCAGUCUCUCUCCAGUCUCUCUCCAGUCUCUCUCCAGACUCUCUCCAGUCUCUCUCCAGUCUCUCUCCAGUCUCUCUCCAGUCUCUCUCCAUUCUCUCUCCACUCUCUCCUCAGUCUCUCUCCAGUCUCUCUCCAGUCUCUCUCCAGUCUCUCUCCAUCUCUCUCAGUCUCUCUCCAGACUCUCUCCAGUCUCUCUCCAGUCUCUCUCCAGUGUCUCUCCAGUCUCUCUCCAGUCUCUCUCCAGACUCUCUCCAGUCUCUCUCCAGUCUCUCUUCAGUCUCUCUCCAGUCUCUCUCCAGUCUCUCUCCAGUCUCUCUUCAGUCUCUCUCUAGUCUCUCCAGUCUCUCUCCAGUCUCUCUCCAGUCUCUCUCCAGUCUCUCUCCAGUCUCUCUCCAGCUGCUGUCUCUCUCCAGUCUCUCUCCAGUCUCUCUCCAGUCUCUCUCCAGUCUCUCUCCAGUCUCUCUUCAGUCUCUCUCCAGUCUCUCUCCAGUCUCUCUCCAGUCUCUCUUCAGUCUCUCUCUAGUCUCUCCAGUCUCUCUCCAGUCUCUCUCCAGUCUCUCUUCAGUCUCUCUCCAGUCUCUCUCCAGUCUCUCUCCAGUCUCUCUUCAGUCUCUCUCCAGUCUCUCUCCAGUCUCUCUCCAGUCUCUCUCUAGUCUCUCCAGUCUCUCUCCAGUCUCUCUUCAGUCUCUCUCCAGUCUCUCUCUAGUCUCUCCAGUCUCUCUCCAGUCUCUCUCCAGUCUCUCUCCAGUCUCUCCAGUCUCUCUUCAGUCUCUCUCUAGUCUCUCCAGUCUCUCUCCAGUCUCUCUCCAGUCUCUCUUCAGUCUCUCUCCAGUCUCUCUCCAGUCUCUCUCCAGUCUCUCUCCAGUCUCUCUUCAGUCUCUCUCCAGUCUCUCUCCAGUCUCUCUCCAGUCUCUCUCCCAGACUCUCUCCAGUCUCUCUCCAGACUCUCUCCAGUCUCUCUCCAGUCUCUCUUCAGUCUCUCUUCAGUCUCUCUCCAGUCUCUCUCUAGUCUCUCCAGUCUCUCUCCAGUCUCUCUCCAGUCUCUCUCCAGUCUCUCUUCAGUCUCUCUCCAGUCUCUCUCCAGUCUCUCUCCAGUCUCUCUCCAGACUCUCUCCAGUCUCUCUCCAGACUCUCUCCAGUCUCUCUCCAGUCUCUCUUCAGUCUCUCUUCAGUCUCUCUCCAGUCUCUCUCUAGUCUCUCCAGUCUCUCUCCAGUCUCUCUCCAGUCUCUCUUCAGUCUCUCUCCAGUAUCUCUCCAGUCUCUCUCCAGUCUCUCUCCAGUCUCUCUCCAGUCUCUCUUCAGUCUCUCUCCAGUCUCUCUCCAGUCUCUCUCCAGUCUCUCUCCAGUCUCUCUUCAGUCUCUCUCCAGUCUCUCUCCAGUCUCUCUCCAGUCUUUCUCCAGUCUCUCUCCAGUCUCUCUCUAGUCUCUCCAGUCUCUCUCCAGUCUCUCUUCAGUCUCUCUCCAGUCUCUCCUCAGUCUCUCUCCAGUCUCUCUUCAGUCUCUCUGUCUUUCUGUCUCUCCUC
Molecule: long non-coding RNA, 2255 nt
Filed under: Salmo salar (Atlantic salmon)
Lineage: Eukaryota; Metazoa; Chordata; Actinopteri; Salmoniformes; Salmonidae
Description: lncRNA (ENSSSAG00000089167.1)
Source: RNAcentral